AUAUUGGCAUGGGCGAAACCUGAUCCAGCCAUGCCGCGUGUGUGAAGAAGGUCUUCGGAUUGUAAAGCACUUUAAGUUGGGAGGAAGGGCAUUAACCUAAUACGUUAGUGUUUUGACGUUACCGACAGAAUAAGCACCGGCUAACUCUGUGCCAGCAGCCGCGGUAAUACAGAGGGUGCAAGCGUUAAUCGGAAUUACUGGGCGUAAAGCGCGCGUAGGUGGUUUGUUAAGUUGGAUGUGAAAUCCCCGGGCUCAACCUGGGAACUGCAUUCAAAACUGACUGACUAGAGUAUGGUAGAGGGUGGUGGAAUUUCCUGUGUAGCGGUGAAAUGCGUAGAUAUAGGAAGGAACACCAGUG
This 358-nucleotide ribosomal RNA is filed under the name gamma proteobacterium 3-8. RNAcentral describes it as "bacterial SSU rRNA". It matches the Rfam family "Bacterial small subunit ribosomal RNA", at positions 361 to 714 of the family's 1533-position model. The record is from RNAcentral. Lineage: Bacteria; Pseudomonadati; Pseudomonadota; Gammaproteobacteria.